Delphinapterus leucas (beluga whale) is the source of this 605-nucleotide non-coding RNA. NCBI's taxonomy places the organism in Eukaryota, Metazoa, Chordata, Mammalia, Artiodactyla, Monodontidae. The record is from RefSeq and is a predicted model, not a curated record.
AGACAACACAAGCCCCCUCCUCUGACCUGGAACAACUCAACAAUUCAGGACUCUUAGAUUUUCAAGAUGAUGACUGAGAAACUGUUCCACAGCCUUGGAGUCUCCUCAUCCACCUCCCACCCUGAAGAAAGUUAAAGCGGGCUGUGGAAUUCAGCCUAACUUCACCUGCAUGUCUAGGAGACAAGAAGACGGUUGACCGACUGCUUCAGGGGCAGAAACAGAAAUGUGUGGCCAUAUGGGGUGUCCCGGAGGCUGUUUGCAUGGCUGUGUACAGAAGGACAUCAGCAGAAGAAGUGUUCUGGAUGCCAGGAUCUAAGAAGUGGUCCCAGGAAACCACCUGGAGCAGACAUGCCUUCAAAUGACCUCCACCAUUUGCAAGAGUCCCAGCAGGAAACUCUGGGCUGGGCAGCGAGGAUGCCACAUCACACCCUGCAGGAGCCAGAGACAUCAACCAAGAUCACUCUCAGGAAUGCUGAUGGAAUCUUGCCUGGAUGCAUUGCAAAUAUCACCCCCAGGAGAAAACUGCAGUCUUUCGAGAACACCAAACUUACCCGAGUCUGCAGAAGACUUGCAGAUAAAUCAAACUAAAAUCUAAAAUCGAAAGC